Molecule: ribosomal RNA, 699 nt
Filed under: uncultured Enterobacteriaceae bacterium
Lineage: Bacteria; Pseudomonadati; Pseudomonadota; Gammaproteobacteria; Enterobacterales; Enterobacteriaceae
Description: partial 16S ribosomal RNA
Rfam family: Bacterial small subunit ribosomal RNA
Source: RNAcentral
CGGCUAUUUCCGUCCCAGCAGCCGCUGUAAUACGGAGGGUGCAAGCGUUAAUCGGAAUUACUGGGCGUAAAGCGCACGCAGGCGGUUUGUUAAGUCAGAUGUGAAAUCCCCGGGCUCAACCUGGGAACUGCAUCUGAUACUGGCAAGCUUGAGUCUCGUAGAGGGGGGUAGAAUUCCAGGUGUAGCGGUGAAAUGCGUAGAGAUCUGGAGGAANUNANCCGGUGGCGAAGGCGGCCCCCUGGACGAAGACUGACGCUCAGGUGCGAAAGCGUGGGGAGCAAACAGGAUUAGAUACCCUGGUAGUCCACGCCGUAAACGAUGUCGACUUGGAGGUUGUGCCCUUGAGGCGUGGCUUCCGGAGCUAACGCGUUAAGUCGACCGCCUGGGGANGNUACGGCCGCAAGGUUAAAACUCAAAUGAAUUGACGGGGGCCCGCACAAGCGGUGGAGCAUGUGGUUUAAUUCGAUGCAACGCGAAGAACCUUACCUGGUCUUGACAUCCACGGAAGUUUUCAGAGAUGAGAAUGUGCCUUCGGGAACCGUGAGACAGGUGCUGCAUGGCUGUCGUCAGCUCGUGUUGUGAAAUGUUGGGUUAAGUCCCGCAACGAGCGCAACCCUUAUCCUUUGUUGCCAGCGGUCCGGUUGGUUUCUCAAAGGAGACUGCCCCCUGAUUUUUUUGGAGGAGGGUGGUUUUUUUUUU